GAUAUGAAGUAGCAAUACUUCAAAAAGUGGCGCACGGGUGCGUAACACGUAUGCAACCUACCUAUCACAGGGGGAUAGCCCGAAGAAAUUCGGAUUAAUACCCCAUAAAACAGACUCUUCGCAUGGAGAGAUUGUUAAAGCUGAGGCGGUGAUAGAUGGGCAUGCGACUGAUUAGUUAGUUGGCGAGGUAACGGCUCACCAAGACAAUGAUCAGUAGGGGGUCUGAGAGGAUGAUCCCCCACACUGGUACUGAGAUACGGACCAGACUCCUACGGGAGGCAGCAGUAGGGAAUAUUGGUCAAUGGGCGAGAGCCUGAACCAGCCAUGCCGCGUGCAGGAAGAAGGCCUUCUGGGUUGUAAACUGCUUUUAUCAGGGAAGAAAACGCUCUUGCGAGAGUAACUGACGGUACCUGAGGAAUAAGCACCGGCUAACUCCGUGCCAGCAGCCGCGGUAAUACGGAGGGUGCAAGCGUUGUCCGGAUUUAUUGGGUUUAAAGGGUGCGUAGGCGGGCUAUUAAGUCAGUGGUGAAAGCCGGCAGCUCAACUGUCGAACUGCCAUUGAUACUGAUAGCCUUGAGUACAGAUGAGGUGGGCGGAAUUUAUGGUGUAGCGGUGAAAUGCAUAGAUACCAUAAAGAACACCGAUAGCGAAAGCAGCUCACUAAACUGUAACUGACGCU
RNAcentral lists this ribosomal RNA (679 nucleotides) under uncultured bacterium. RNAcentral describes it as "bacterial SSU rRNA". It matches the Rfam family "Bacterial small subunit ribosomal RNA", at positions 68 to 747 of the family's 1533-position model. The record is from RNAcentral.